GAGCAACCUGUGACGGAGCGGAUGAGAGCUGAUGGAGGAGGUUGACCGCUUCAUACUCAACCUGUGACGGAGCGGAUGAGAGCUGAUGGAGAAGGUUGACCGCUUCAUACUCAACCUGUGACGGAGCGGAUGAGAGCUGAUGGAGAAGAUGUGAUGAGAGGUUAAGGAUGUCUUUUUUAGAAAUGUCCUGGAAGUCAUAUUUCUGUCACAGCAACUGUUGUUUUCUCCUGUCCACUUGGUGUAUAAGAUGAUUAAAGUUUCUCAUUUGUUCCAACAUAUAAA
Molecule: long non-coding RNA, 282 nt
Organism: Oncorhynchus keta (chum salmon)
Lineage: Eukaryota; Metazoa; Chordata; Actinopteri; Salmoniformes; Salmonidae
Exons: 2
Source: RefSeq, a predicted model, not a curated record